GUAUGACUAAAGCAAGUCUAUUGUUUUCAAGGUGGUUAUGCUGCCUCAUCAAAUUCCUUCUUCUUGUACCCUCUGUGGUGUUGCCCUGUGUCAGGCAUGGUUCACUUGUAUUAUGUAAGACAAUGUGGGGGGCAACAGCCUGGCCUGGAGUGAUGGGUUGUUGGUGCGCGGGUGCGGCAUUCCUUUCCUUGCUCUGGUGUAGAGUACAUCACUCUCCUUGCUCUGGACUGGAAUCACCGCUGAACACAUUCAUUAUUUUGUAAACCCAUCAUUUUCCUGGCACAGGUUCUCCUGCCGUUUGUCAUUUUGGACGAGGACGAGACCUGUGCAUUAUUACUACUACUUCUACUACUUGUGGAGCUGAGUGAUGAUUUUCUGUUCCGCUUUCCUCCAUGUCACCUUUUCAUCUCAUCACACCCCUGGCCGUCCCCUGACGGCCGUCAGGGGAGGUUACGUCCUUCCGGAAGUUGCAGUCGCUAGUUUCCCGUCUGCUGCAGUACAGUCCUUUGACGUCCCCGGAUCUCCCCUUCUUCUCUGAUGUUUUAAUUCUCGCUCCGUGAACUUUGUUCUUUUCGUGAACUUUGUACUCGCGCGUUCGUGGACGUAACGGGAUUUGAAUCGUUGGUCAUCGCUGGAUCUGGACAAGACCAUGGGAGACGCAACUGCGAACAACUUAUCCUUUUCUCGCAUUGUAUAAAUUGUUGUAAUCUGUGCAUUUUCAUUUGUGUUUACAUAUCCACUUUCGUUGUUUAUAUUUUGUUUUGACUUCAAGUUUAAGAGUGUUUGAGUGAUUUGAAUUAAAAGUCAUUUUUAAUUCGAGCUGUAAAUACACCUAUUUCUGUACAUUUUUAUUUCUUUGAUUAUUUUGUCGAACUGAACCGGUUGGAAUUAUAUCAUUGGGGUUUUCCUAACUGGAAUAGACCCCGCGACACAU
This is a long non-coding RNA of Patiria miniata (bat star), 934 nucleotides long. RefSeq lists it as uncharacterized. The record is from RefSeq and is a predicted model, not a curated record. Lineage: Eukaryota; Metazoa; Echinodermata; Asteroidea; Valvatida; Asterinidae. The transcript has 2 exons.